RNAcentral lists this ribosomal RNA (360 nucleotides) under Triticum aestivum (bread wheat). Its description in RNAcentral is "partial small subunit ribosomal RNA". The record is from RNAcentral. Lineage: Eukaryota; Viridiplantae; Streptophyta; Magnoliopsida; Poales; Poaceae.
AUGACAUGCUUGAGCUGGAACUGCCGGGGGCUUGGGAACCCCGAGGCAGUUUGCGAGCUUUGCAGUAUGGUGAAGCUAGAAGGACCCACUCUUCUCUUUGUGAUGGAAACGAAAAUUCAAGCAAAAAGAGUUGAGGCUUUGAAGUACACUCUCGGUUUUGGAGGUUGUUUUGCAGUCGACAAUGUCGGCCUAAGUGGUGGCAUUGGUCUGUUCUGGUCACGUGAUGUGACUGUUGAGUUGAAAUUUUUUAGCAAGUGUCACAUUGAUGUGGUGGUUCAUAGUAAUAAUCAGAGUUCAUCGGUUUGGAGGUUUACUGGUUUUUAUGGGGCGCCGAGAGCAUCAGAUCAUGGUGAAAGCUAG